GGGGAAGGGAGCAGGAACUGUACAAGCUUCUACUAGAUUCUGAGCUGAAUUGUCCUGGGACCACUUGAAAUGUGAUUUAUUUGUCCCUGGGCCAGCAGAAGGUGAAAAUGGAUGUUUGGCUAGUUGAAGAGAAAUGGAAAUGAGACCCCGCAGACUGACUUAUUCAGUGGAAAGAGUCCUAUCAUGAAGACACACCAGAGCUGACUGGUUUGCCAGAUUUAAGCUGGGAAGUUUCGGAUGGAUUCUCUUUCCUCCAAAGUGAAAACUUCUGGAAAUAGCACAUCAGAACAAGCAUGGGGAAUGGUGAUAAUAAUGGACUUCCAGGCACGACAGCUCAGGUCUAGGAAAAGAGAUGGGCUAGAGAUCUAGGCAACAGAAGUUUUGUACAUUUUCCCAAAUUACACUCCUGCUGCAGAUCAAAGUUUUGUUUUUUUUCUUCCCCAA
Molecule: long non-coding RNA, 444 nt
Organism: Mustela erminea (ermine)
Lineage: Eukaryota; Metazoa; Chordata; Mammalia; Carnivora; Mustelidae
Exons: 3
Source: RefSeq, a predicted model, not a curated record